UACGUAGGGGGCAAGCGUUGUCCGGAUUUAUUGGGCGUAAAGAGCGUGUAGGCGGCUUGGUAGGUCUCGCGUCAAAACCUGAGGCUCAACCUCAGUUCGCGUGGGAAACCACCUAGCUAGAGUCCGGAAGAGGAGAACGGAAUUCCCAGUGUAGCGGUGAAAUGCGCAGAUAUUGGGAAGAACACCCGUGGCGAAGGCGGCUCUCUGGAACGGUACUGACGCUGAGACGCGAAAGCGUGGGGAGCGAACAGG
This 252-nucleotide ribosomal RNA is filed under the name uncultured bacterium. RNAcentral's name for it is "partial 16S ribosomal RNA". It matches the Rfam family "Bacterial small subunit ribosomal RNA", at positions 524 to 776 of the family's 1533-position model. The record is from RNAcentral.